Molecule: long non-coding RNA, 1667 nt
Organism: Gadus morhua (Atlantic cod)
Lineage: Eukaryota; Metazoa; Chordata; Actinopteri; Gadiformes; Gadidae
Exons: 4
Source: RefSeq, a predicted model, not a curated record
GGUCUUCCGUAGCUUUUUGUCUCUCACGUGCAAGACGUCUUUCCACCUUUGCAAUGGCAUUUUUGUCCGUAAAUCUACGGUAGCACGUGUGAUGGAAGCCAGCUUCCUCGGGAAUAUUGUCAAACUCGACAUCAACACAGUGUUUAAAGUUCUCAGCCAGGUCCCGAGACUCACCCUCCAAACCGAGCCACUUCUGUAGGCUUGUCCUGACCCAGAUUUGCAUCUCCAUCAUUUGGGCCAAUCAUAUGCAGUGGCAUCCGGAAAGAUUCAGCAUCUCCUGCAUUCUGUGGUGAUAUAAAAAGGACGCACACAAUUCAAAACACAAGUGGAGGCAUAAAGCGCUGCACAUCACAACACUGAAGCAAAACUUAACAAGAUUGCUGUUGCGUGAAAAGUAGGUACGAUGCUGGGAAACUGCGUGGGCCUGUGAUUACUCAGGCUGGAGUCCCCCCUGAACAACAUAUGAUGACUGGAAAAUAAAUAUGGAGAAAGUUACACCCAUUAUUGAGUCAGGAGCAAAGGGACCGUGUCCAACAGCCAUCAGAGAGAAUGAUCCAAAAGAAGACACAGUGAGGAAGGUGUUGGCGGGGGGGGGCACUGGCCUGGCGGUGGGGGUUUUGUGUGGGGCCGCUUCCCCCCUUGCAGCUGUACUAAGAUCAGCCAUGAUUGUGGGGAGCAGAUUAGCCUUUAGUGCAGCUAAUACGGCCGCUGGGGCCGCUGUCGGAGGGGUUUUGGGAGGCGUUACGGGCUCAGUGAAUGGGGUAGGAGCUGACAGUCCUUUGCAAGCAGCUGAGCAAACCCUGUGCCAGGUGGGCAGAAAGGGGGUCACGGUUGUGGGGGUGGCUGCAGGGUUUGGAGUUAUAGGGCCUCCGGCUGCAGCAGCUGCAGGGUUGUCAGCUCCAGGGGUUCAGGGUACAUCUGUGGCAGCUGCAUUAGGUUAUUUGGCAAAGAAAAAACUAUCCGGGAAUAUAAAAUCAGGUGAAUUUAAAUAGAAUUAAUAAGCUGCUCUGCCAUGUCAUGCCGUAACUAGAAGUGACACAGUCUGUUCUCCGUGCCUGGCGCUGUAGUACUUUACAUGCAGUACUACAUGAACACAUUAAAGUCAAUACCCACCAUUGCAGAACAGAAAUCCGGAUUUUUCCAAUGCUUCCAAUACCACGACCGCUUCACAUACACCACCAUACCUUUACCUGUUUUAUGUAUAACAGGGUCGUUUGGAUCUUGAUACAUUUUGUAUUUUGUAUAAUGGGGCACUCGUCUGGGUGAAAAGCGGGGGCAGAACUGCAGUAGGCUCUUGGGCCAUAAGGGAAGCAGAGCAGACAUCCGACUAGGGGUUAAGGGGCCUGGAUGAGCGGCUGGACACCUUCUCUCUCUCCUCUUGCUUUACUUAUCUUUAUGUUCCUAGUGUUCACUCCACUUGGAGAUGUGCCUAAUCAUUGUAUUAUGUUAGCAUGGUUUAGAAAAUAAAGGUUUUGGGAAGAAUUUUAGACUUAACAUCAGAUGGGUUGUUGGUUUUACAGUUGAUUUAAUUCUGCAUAAAACUGGCUUCUUGAAUGUUUUUAUUGUCAUGAUUUAUUCACUGGAAAAUAAUCAUUAAGGAUGUAUUGAUUUCACAAUCAUAUAAAUGACUUGUAUAUUUUCAAUCAAUAAACAAAUGAUAUCCUGAA